AAGUCUCACUUAGCUGAGUGACAUUUAGACUUCUGUAUAUGUAAUUACAUUAUAAACACAUGUUCUUUCUAGAUAUAGACAUUUCUGAUAUACAUAUAAUUUUACCUCUUGUUUGUGGGACAUGUAGGUAUAACUUAUUUUCACAGAUGUGCUGAGGUUCAUGAUGAAAUUCAUUUUUCUAAAGAGCAUUUUAUAGAAAUGUUUCUGUGUUCAUUUGUUACAUGGCAAUAACCAAGACAAUUUUGUAAAUAAGGGACAAGAGAAAUAAUUUAAACAUCUGGUAUUUCUAGAUGUACUGAGAGUCUCAAAAAGUAUAAUUUUGUAAAAACUUUCAUUGUAAAUGUGUUAGUAUUGAUACUGUUGUCUUUUAAAAUCAACAUGGCAAUGAAGUUGACAAACAGGCUCUUGGAGCUAUGCAAAAUUUAUCAUAUUAGUUUGGUUGUUAAGAGGAAAUGUUGACAAGAUUAUGCAUUUACCCUGUUCUCAUGUAGAAGAAGAAUUUGCCAUUGUAUCAAGUAUGUAUAUUUAAAACUUACACCAUGUAAAUUCAUUUGGUGUUUCUGGAUGUACCGAGAUUCCUGAUAUAGUUCAUUUAUAUUAUUUUUUAUUAAGACUUUUUAUUAAGGGCAGUUUUAAGUUCACAGAAAAAUUGAGGGGAAGGCACAGAGAUUUCCCAUAUGCCCCCUGCCCCAACGCUUACAUAAUCCCUCCCCCAUUAUCAACCCAGGACAUGUAGAGUCCACCCCUGUUAUCACAUUCCCCCAUCAGAGUGGUACAUUUGUUAUAAUUCAUGAGCCCAUAUUGACACAUCACAUCAUAAAUCACCCAAUGUCAGUAGUUUAUAUUAUGGUUAACUCUUGGUGUUCUACAUUGUGUGGGUUUAGGCAAGCAUAUAAUGACAUGUAUUCAUUGUCAUCAUAUUUUAAUGGCCCUAGAAAUCCUCUUUGCUCCAACUACUCAUCCCUCCCCUUGUAUUUCUUUUUUUUACUUUGUUUUCCUUUUUUUCCCCUUACUAUUCAAAUUAAUAAAUGACUUUGUCAGAGAGAUUUUAUACUACCUCCUGGAACUAUACACAGUUCUGUAUGUGUUCCCUUGGUUGCAUGACAAUAUUCAAGACAACUUUGUAAAUAGGCAGAUACGAGUUUUAAAUUUUUAUCAUCUAGACUUUCUAGAUGUAUAGAGUCUCACAAAGUAUAAUUUUGUAAAUAAUUCACUGUAAAGUUUCAUUGUUUUCUUCUUAUGUCUCAGCAGUGAAAUUGAUGGAACUGUGGAUUUCUUGAGCUGUAUACAUAUUUUGGGAUCUGCUGAGUUAUGGGAAAGCAAAAGUUAAAAGGAUAUUUUUUCACUUUUGCAUUCUCAUCUGAAAGAAAAUUUUACAUUUUAAUCAUUGUAGUGCUUCGAUUUUUAUACAUUAAAAAAGCCAAGUCAUAAUUUGUAGUUGUGUUGCUAAUAGGGCAUUACACAUUUUAAUCAGGAGAUUUUAUUCUCUUUGAAUUAUACAGUUUUGUGUUUAAUUGGACUGUAUGACAACAUUCAAGACAACCUUGUAAAUAACAGUAAAUUUAUCAUUUAAAAAUUAGUUUUUCUAGAUGGCAUGGAAUUACACGAAGUACAAAUUUGUAAAUAUCUCAUUGUAGAGGAUCAUGAGGUGGCUUCUAUAAAUGUUUUAGCAGAGUGAUAGGUAACUAGGAGUUGACCUUUUAGGGCUUUGUAACAUUUUGGUGUUUAUGUAGUGGAUUUUUGGGGAUAGGGGUACACAGAUUAUCUCCAUAUCUUCAGAUUUUUAGGUUCUCAUGUUAUAAGAUUAGAUUGUAUACUUUUAACGAACAAAUGCCCAUGGGAUUUAUUUUCAUCUUCAGGAAGAAAAAGGAAGACAUGAAAAGGGAAUUGUCAUUUUAAACCGCAGGUAUAUUCAUAGUUAUAUAACAUUGCUGAAGUAAGGGUUAUUUUGCUAUGCUAUGUAAACCUACUGUUUGCAAAUUUAUAUAUGUAUAUGCAUAUGCAUGUAUAUUAUAAAUGUAUAUACAUGUACAUAUGUAAAAUUAGUUCUAGGGGUAUAGAUAUGAUAGUGUUCUUUCUCAUUUAUUAGCUUACUGCUUUACUUGUUUUUUUUAAUGGAAAUAAUAUUUCAAUUGUAAGCUUAAACAUGUAGAAGCCCAUUUCAUGUUUAUAUCUAAACGAAUAUUUUUAUAUAAAACGUUUAAGCAGUUGUGGAUUUUUUUGUUUCCAUAUAUACAUCUGUAUGAGAACAGAAUUUCCAUGAUUAUGAGUAUUUUAUUUUUCUGAGAGCUUUUGAAAAUUUUCUGGAGAGUAGUUAAUUUGUAUGUUAUAAUCAGUAACCAAUGUCAAGUAUUCUCAGUUGCCUAUAAUGUAAAUAACGAAUUUCGUAGAAUCCUAUCCAGUAUUAAAGUGUAAUCAGUACAUCUUUUUGAACAAGUUUGACAAUGACAAUUGAACUUUGAGUGUGUAAAAUUUUUGAAAUGAUAUAAUCUGCUGACGGGAUUUUAUAUAUUCCUACUCUCAAAUCCAUAAAGAAGAAAGUAUGUUAUAGGUCAAGUAUAACAAAUAAUUUGAAUAUAUGAAAUACACAUCAUUAAAAGAACGAUUGUAAUGAUAGCUAAUUCAUAUGAAUAUCAUUCAAACACUGAAAGUAUUCUGAUAUUGAAGGGUGUUUUAAGUUGAUUUUUAAAAUUGUCAUUUUUGUACAAAUAUCAGCUAAAGUGUGUGUGCUGAGGUGUGUCCAUAUGCCUCUGGUUUUUCUAUUUGAAAUAUUAAUGGUUACUGUUCCUUGGAAAUGGGAUUAUUCAGACAUGAUAAUGGAGUUAAGUAAUGCUUACUCAUUAGUGUUACUACAAUAGUGAUUAAUUUAGCAUUCUUUCUGAAAUUUUUGUACAUGUGUAAGUUAAAUACUAAAACAUAGUUUUUAUAUUUGUGUAUUGCUACAUGACAAUCUAAAAUGCAAAUGUGAAUUAUUGAAUAGAAAGUUGUCUGGAAAAACAUGGCAAAAUUUUAACAUUACUGUAUAAAAAGAUCAGAAAAGAAGGGACUGCUGCUACUUUCUGCCUUUGAAACUUUAAAGGUAUUUCAGAAGCAACAUUUAAACAACAGAGGAAAUGUUAAAGAUACAACCAAUUUGUGCCUGUCUUCAUCGUUACCUAUUGACAUCUCGGGAGUGUUGGGCUGUUGUAUCCGACUUAGUAUUCCCAGUGACUGUUACUAAUAGUUUUUGAGUGAUCGUGAAGAGCGUGUGACUUAGACACUAGUGCGGCAAAGAGUUUUACACAGUGAAACAGAGUAUUGGACUAUCCACGGAAAGAAGGAUGAAGAUGGCAUUUGAGGUGAACAUGAUGAAAGAAAGACAUAACAUGCAGAUAACCUGAGGAUGUCUGACAUCAUCAGGAACAUUCUUCCUGUGAAGUUCCUUAAUUUAUAAAUCUCAACUGUAAACCACAGGGAGAUGAUAGUUCCAAGAAAAGACACUUUUGCCAUCUUUGUUUUCAAUCUCAGUAAUUGGUACCAUGAGACCUGUUGCAGUAUUCCUCUUUUCAAGUGUUCAUCACUCCCAUCCAUCCCUGGGCCCAGGAGAACCCCUUGGCGAUAAUGAUUGUUGUAUCCUCUCAGGUGAUGACUGAAUAGGAAAAACUGAUGCCAUUGCUUCUGCGACCAUCUUCAGUAAAACCAAAGACAGUCUUCAUAAUGUAUAGAGAUUCCUCAUUGAUGUGUUGCAAUGGACACUCCCUGUAGAUCACAAAAACAGGCUGAGAAGGCUGAAAUUUCAUAGUGACCGAAAGGGUGAUAUUGGAGAGAACUGUAACCAGGCAUGUUGACUGUUUUCAUUGUUGCCAUUGGACUAAAUCUCAGGAGCUUGAAUGAUGGAGGCAUUAUUACACAGAGAAGCUCAGGAUGGUAUAAUUUCAAGGCUUCAUUACAGUGCUCCCAUAAGUAUUAGGUGCACAUUUUUAAAAUUUUCAUUUAUCACAGGGAAAUUUAAAACUGACUCAUAAAAAAUCAUCUUUUUCAAGAUUUCAAAGGACAUGAAAAUUUGUGAAGUAUAAUAUUUUACUUUUUAAAUGCCUUUUUUCCUCUUCUAAUUCUGCCAUCUCUGUCUGUGUUAUCUACUAUUAAUGAAAUUUUGUGCACAUCCUUUUGGGUGUAUUGAUAAAUUAAUAUGCAAGUUAUUUUUUGGGGGGGUCUAUAUACUAGCUACAAAUUUUCUACACAGUAAACAUGGUUUAUAUAUAAAUUGUAAAUUUAUCCAAUUUGUUGAAAUAAUUCCAAUGAUUUGGAGCUGCUAGGACUAAGGGUAUCCAAAAUUUAUAGUUUUGAGUCCAAACUAGUUUUCCCUAUUAUACAGACAGGACCUCAUCAAUCUUGUUCCCCAGUGUUUAUGUGGGCAUAUUUCCUAAAACUGUACAAGUGUUACAUUUUUAAUCUUUGGUAAUAUGGUAUUACAAAGAAUUUGCUUUUCUUUUACUGUUCAUCUCUGUCAUCUUCAUAUAUGCUUAAUCCUUACUAGUCAUUUGUGUUACUUCAUUUUCUUCUGUUUUUUUUCCAUUCUGUUGUUAUAUCAAUGUCUUUGUUACUGGUUUCUAAGAACUCAUUUUUUAUUAAGGAUGUUAACCAUUUGUCAUGCAGUGCAAAUGAAGUACCAUAUUUUAUUGCUAUCAAUUUACUAUGGGGUUUUGUACUUUGGUU
This is a non-coding RNA of Kogia breviceps (pygmy sperm whale), 4695 nucleotides long. The record is from RefSeq and is a predicted model, not a curated record. Lineage: Eukaryota; Metazoa; Chordata; Mammalia; Artiodactyla; Physeteridae.